AAAGAUGUUUUGACGAUUUAUUUUCAAAUUACCAACAGAACAUACUAAUAUGCUCUUUAAAUUCAGUAACAUGUAUACUCGAAGACGCAAUAAAUGCAUCAGAGGGGCUUUACGCAAUAGCAAUUUACUUUUUAGUAAUACAAUGGAGUAGAAAUGGGCUAUAACAAGUAUUUAAAUACGAAACUUAGUCCGUACACGAGAAGAACCU
Non-coding RNA from Cinara cedri, 208 nucleotides. The record is from the annotation of a GenBank genome assembly. Lineage: Eukaryota; Metazoa; Arthropoda; Insecta; Hemiptera; Aphididae.